RNAcentral lists this ribosomal RNA (323 nucleotides) under uncultured Actinomycetes bacterium. RNAcentral's name for it is "bacterial SSU rRNA". It matches the Rfam family "Bacterial small subunit ribosomal RNA", at positions 28 to 351 of the family's 1533-position model. The record is from RNAcentral. Lineage: Bacteria; Bacillati; Actinomycetota; Actinomycetes.
GAUGAACGCUGGCGGCGUGCUUAACACAUGCAAGUCGAACGGUGAAAGAGAGCUUGCUCUCUGGAUCAGUGGCGAACGGGUGAGUAACACGUGAGCAAUCUGCCCUUGACUCUGGGAUAAGCGCUGGAAACGGCGUCUAAUACUGGAUACGAGCUGCGAAGGCAUCUUCAGCAGCUGGAAAGAACUUCGGUCAAGGAUGAGCUCGCGGCCUAUCAGCUUGUUGGUGAGGUAACGGCUCACCUAGGCGACGAUCAGUAGCCGGCCUGAGAGGGCGAUCGGCCACAUUGGGACUGAGACACGGCCCAAACUCCUACGGGUGGCAG